UCUUAUAGCCCCACAACCCCCCUAGGCGCCGUGUGCUUGGUUUUAGGUUGGGGCGACCGCGGAGUACAAUAAAACCUCCACAAUGAAUGGGAACACCCCCUUAUCUGAGGGCCACACCCCCUAAGAAUUAGAACACUAACAUAAAAUGAUCCAUUACUUGAUCAAUGAACCAAGUUACCCUGGGGAUAACAGCGCAAUCCAUUUCAAGAGCCCCUAUCGACAAAUGGGUUUACGACCUCGAUGUUGGAUCAGGGUACCCCAGUGGUGCAGCAGCUACUAACGGUUCGUUUGUUCAACGAUUAAAACCCU
RNAcentral lists this ribosomal RNA (309 nucleotides) under Mantidactylus melanopleura. RNAcentral's name for it is "partial 16S ribosomal RNA". It matches the Rfam family "Bacterial large subunit ribosomal RNA", at positions 2221 to 2597 of the family's 2925-position model. The record is from RNAcentral. Lineage: Eukaryota; Metazoa; Chordata; Amphibia; Anura; Mantellidae.